CACACACACACACUCGCGCGCACGCACACACUCUCACACACACACAGCGCUGGUAGUUUGCACUCGCUCUGUUCAGUGUUUGGCCACAGGGCACGCGCGUCGCCAGCCAGACCAGCACCCAGCUCACGUGCGGAACGUACCAUCCGCGGUCCAGACUGGGGGGAGGGGGGAAAGAAAGAAGGGGAGGAAGGGCAAGAAAGAUGUGGAAGGAGGGAAAAACUGUAAAGGGACGGAGGACGAGAAGAAAAUGAAAGAAGAGGCUGGGGCACCUGAUUAUGGCUACCAGAAAAGAAAAAUAACUUUGGCCAAGCCAUUCGUAUUCUAAAAGACGGGGACGUGAAGGCAGGGGGAGGCGGUGGAGGACGGGGUGCGGGGAAGUCAGGGUUUCCUCCCGCAAGGAAAUACGACUCCUUGGACCCGUCAUUACGGUGCAUUAACAUGGCUUGGGCUGUCCUACCACCGCCUGCUCCGCUCUCCCGGACCUAAGAACGAGCUUUGGCGAAGGUUCCCUGGAGAACACCGGGGGAGGGGAGGGAACACUGGAGGAUGCCACCAGAGGGAAUACACCACGGAAAAACUGCAAAAUUAAUAAUUUCCUAUCUAAACUCUGCUGCCUUUCAAGCCCUGGGUGUCAUCAUGUUCCUUAGCCCUUCUCCUCCCCCUUCUCUUCACGAACACUGGAAGUGUGCACAGCCCACGUUUUACAACCUCUGGCACCUAAAAAGCCUCUUUCCUUAAGCCUGUCUCAAACUGGUACAAGCACAGGGCUAGCAACGUGAUCCGACCGGCUGCUGCCACAUCACUGUACUGGGAGCCCGUGCUGGGCUCGCCUCCGCUCCCGCCGCCGUAGCUGCUGCCGCCGCCUCCCCUGCUGUACUCCAGAGAGAGGGGGGAGAAAAAAAGUCUGGAGCACAGAGUUUGAGCCGAAUUACCUUUUCCCUAGAGCGAUCCCCAAGAAAAUGGCUCAGUGCUAGUGAAAGUAACCGGGAUUUGCAUGAAGUUGUUGAGCAGCGGCGAUUGGGAAGGGAGCAAGUACUGAAAGGGAGAAGAACACCUUGGAAUUGGGGGUUCUAAAUCGAACUCUAUCCCCCACCUCCACCCCACCCCGGCUAUUACUACCGAGGACAGAAACUCUAUGAAAACUACUCAAGGAUUCUUCCUUUCGGCUUCCAGUGUAAUGUUUACAUUUUCCCCAGGGUUAUCUCCGAAGAAAUUAAUCAUUGCCAGGGAACCAGGAUGAAAGCUGAGUGUAGGAGCAAGCGGAAGAAGGGAAGACUGCUGCUUUUCCUACCUCCCUACUCCGCUCGGUGUAUGAAUUGCAGGGACAAGAUCUGGGUCGCUGGAAGCUGCGCCUGGAUGGAAAUCACGUGCCUGCAGCAACUUAUUUUUUUUUUUUUUCACCUCAAGAAGCUGCGGCUGCCAUCGAAACUGCUGCUGCAGUCACCCAACCUCAGUGAAGAAGAAACCAGCUGGCUUGAUAACCACGGUGGCAGUAGGGCUUCAAUCAAGACCACCCUUGUUUGAGAAAAUUAUUUUAUGGAUUUGGUUAAUUUGUCUUAAGGUGGUUUUUUUUUUUUAAUAAUUCUGAAGGUUUAUUAAAAAACAAAAAAACUAUACUUGAGAAACUUGGUAACCUUUUCAUUCACCAGCUUGUCCCCUUACCCCUCCUCCCUCAGAAAAAUCCUAAGUGGUUUGGUGAUAAAUUAUAUUUUGGGCUUCAAUUAAUUUUUUUGUCGUCAUAAUUACUACGUUAUAAAAGAAACUGAAGUAUUGCAUAAAUUUUUCUUGCCAAAUAAAUUCUUAGUAAAGGUU
Long non-coding RNA from Antechinus flavipes (yellow-footed antechinus), 1812 nucleotides. RefSeq lists it as uncharacterized. Lineage: Eukaryota; Metazoa; Chordata; Mammalia; Dasyuromorphia; Dasyuridae. The record is from RefSeq and is a predicted model, not a curated record. The transcript has 2 exons.